GCGUGAGUGAUGAAGGCCCUAGGGUUGUAAAGCUCUUUCGAUGGGGAAGAUAAUGACGGUACCCAUAGAAGAAGCCCCGGCUAACUUCGUGCCAGCAGCCGCGGUAAUACGAAGGGGGCUAGCGUUGCUCGGAAUCACUGGGCGUAAAGCGCACGUAGGCGGACUUUUAAGUCAGGGGUGAAAUCCUGAGGCUCAACCUCAGAACUGCCUUUGAUACUGAGAGUCUCGAGUCCGAGAGAGGUGAGUGGAACUCCGAGUGUAGAGGUGAAAUUCGU
RNAcentral lists this ribosomal RNA (275 nucleotides) under uncultured bacterium. RNAcentral's name for it is "partial 16S ribosomal RNA". It matches the Rfam family "Bacterial small subunit ribosomal RNA", at positions 399 to 691 of the family's 1533-position model. The record is from RNAcentral.